GCUAUAAGAAAUAUCAACCAGACUAGAGAUAAUAUUGUUAUGGUGUUCGGAGCUAUAAGAAAUAUCAAUCAGACUACAGAUAAUAUUGAUGGGAAUCUUCGUGUUGUAAGAGUAAUCGUUUUUCCAAGG
Long non-coding RNA from Daktulosphaira vitifoliae (grape phylloxera), 129 nucleotides. RefSeq lists it as uncharacterized. The record is from RefSeq and is a predicted model, not a curated record. The transcript has 6 exons. NCBI's taxonomy places the organism in Eukaryota, Metazoa, Arthropoda, Insecta, Hemiptera, Phylloxeridae.